GACGAACGCUGGCGGCGUGCUUAACACAUGCAAGUCGAACGGUAAGGCCCUUCGGGGUACACGAGUGGCGAACGGGUGAGUAACACGUGGGUAAUCUGCCCUGCACAUCGGGAUAAGCCUGGGAAACUGGGUCUAAUACCGAAUAGGACCACAGGACACAUGUCCUGUGGUGGAAAGCUUUUGCGGUGUGGGAUGGGCCCGCGGCCUAUCAGCUUGUUGGUGGGGUGAUGGCCUACCAAGGCGACGACGGGUAGCCGGCCUGAGAGGGUGUCCGGCCACACUGGGACUGAGAUACGGCCCAGGCUCCUACGGGGGGCAGCAGUGGGGAAUAUUGCACAAUGGGCGAAAGCCUGAUGCAGCGACGCCGCGUGGGGGAUGACGGCCUUCGGGUUGUAAACCUCUUUCACCAUCGACGAAGGUCCGGGUUUUCUCGGGCUGACGGUAGGUGGAGAAGAAGCACCGGCCAACUACGUG
Molecule: ribosomal RNA, 474 nt
Filed under: uncultured bacterium
Lineage: Bacteria
Description: partial 16S ribosomal RNA
Rfam family: Bacterial small subunit ribosomal RNA
Source: RNAcentral